This 30-nucleotide non-coding RNA is filed under the name Cricetulus griseus (Chinese hamster). Lineage: Eukaryota; Metazoa; Chordata; Mammalia; Rodentia; Cricetidae. The record is from RNAcentral.
GGGGUCCCGAAACAUGGCAACAGGGCUGAG